AUUGAACGCUGGCGGCAUGCCUUACACAUGCAAGUCGAACGGUAACGGGCCUUCGGGUGCCGACGAGUGGCGAACGGGUGAGUAAUGUAUCGGAACGUACCUUUCAGUGGGGGAUAACGUAGCGAAAGUUACGCUAAUACCGCAUAUUCUGUGAGCAGGAAAGCAGGGGAUCGCAAGACCUUGCGCUGAUUGAGCGGCCGAUAUCAGAUUAGCUAGUUGGUGAGGUAAAGGCUCACCAAGGCGACGAUCUGUAGCGGGUCUGAGAGGAUGAUCCGCCACACUGGAACUGAGACACGGUCCAGACUCCUACGGGAGGCAGCAGUGGGGAAUUUUGGACAAUGGGGGCAACCCUGAUCCAGCCAUGCCGCGUGAGUGAAG
RNAcentral lists this ribosomal RNA (378 nucleotides) under uncultured bacterium. Its description in RNAcentral is "bacterial SSU rRNA". It matches the Rfam family "Bacterial small subunit ribosomal RNA", at positions 30 to 410 of the family's 1533-position model. The record is from RNAcentral.